GAGACAGCAGCCGCCGCGGUAAUACGGAGGGGGCUAGCGUUGUUCGGAAUUACUGGGCGUAAAGCGCACGUAGGCGGCUUGGUAAGUUAGAGGUGAAAGCCCGGAGCUCAACUCCGGAAUUGCCUUUAAGACUGCCGAGCUAGUAGGUGAGAGAGGUAAGUGGAAUUCCGAGUGUAGAGGUGAAAUUCGUAGAUAUUCGGAAGAACACCAGUGGCGAAGGCGGCUUACUGGCUCAUUCUAGACGCUGAGGUGCGAAAGCGUGGGGAGCAAACAGGAUUAGAUACCCGUGUAGGUCCCUGUCUCUUAUA
RNAcentral lists this ribosomal RNA (308 nucleotides) under uncultured bacterium. Its description in RNAcentral is "partial 16S ribosomal RNA". It matches the Rfam family "Bacterial small subunit ribosomal RNA", at positions 505 to 808 of the family's 1533-position model. The record is from RNAcentral.